CCCCUUUUAAAAGCACUCAAUGGGCCUGUGGCUAAUGACCUCUUGAGCCAUCAAGAAAGGGGAGAAUGGAAACACCGCUUUUGGGUGAAGUGGCAGCAUGUUGUGUUGCUUUACUUCAAUCAGUGGUGUGGCAAGG
Molecule: small nucleolar RNA, 136 nt
Organism: Callithrix jacchus (white-tufted-ear marmoset)
Lineage: Eukaryota; Metazoa; Chordata; Mammalia; Primates; Cebidae
Source: Ensembl